Molecule: long non-coding RNA, 251 nt
Filed under: Brassica rapa (field mustard)
Lineage: Eukaryota; Viridiplantae; Streptophyta; Magnoliopsida; Brassicales; Brassicaceae
Description: long non-coding RNA (BRAP_LNC008154)
Source: RNAcentral
AAAGCUCUGCCAAACUCAUAACAGAAAGAAAGAAAGAGAGAGACCGGCGGUUAGAGAAGAGAACCGUGUGUGGUGGUGUUGGCUUGCCGGCAUGUUAUGAGCGUGGGAAGGCCAGGCCGUGAAGAUGGAUACCAGACAGAAAGAAAAGGAGAAGGAGAAGGACCUGCCUCCAGGGGAGAAAACGCCUAAGGUUAGUGGUGUAGACUGCAAGGAACGGCCCCGGGCCUGCGGAUGAUCCGUGCGGCCUUGCG